GCAAACAUAGUUUAAUAAAAACGUUAGAUUGUGAGUCUAAAAUUAGGAGCUUAACCCUCCUUGCAUGCC
This 69-nucleotide transfer RNA is filed under the name Dasykaluta rosamondae (little red kaluta). Its description in RNAcentral is "tRNA-His". It matches the Rfam family "tRNA". From Rfam's summary of the family: Transfer RNA (tRNA) molecules are approximately 80 nucleotides in length. Their secondary structure includes four short double-helical elements and three loops (D, anti-codon, and T loops). Lineage: Eukaryota; Metazoa; Chordata; Mammalia; Dasyuromorphia; Dasyuridae. The record is from RNAcentral.